GAUGAACGCUGGCGGCGUGCCUAAUACAUGCAAGUCGAGCGAACAGACGAGGAGCUUGCUCCUCUGACGUUAGCGGCGGACGGGUGAGUAACACGUGGAUAACCUACCUAUAAGACUGGGAUAACUUCGGGAAACCGGAGCUAAUACCGGAUAAUAUAUUGAACCGCAUGGUUCAAUAGUGAAAGACGGUUUUGCUGUCACUUAUAUAUGGAUCCGCGCCGCAUUAGCUAGUUGGUAAGGUAACGGCUUACCAAGGCAACGGUGCGUAGCCGACCUGAGAGGGUGAUCGGCCACACUGGAACUGAGACACGGUCCAGACUCCUACGGGAGGCAGCAGUAGGGAAUCUUCCGCAAUGGGCGAAAGCCUGACGGAGCAACGCCGCGUGAGUGAUGAAGGUCUUCGGAUCGUAAAACUCUGUUAUUAGGGAAGAACAAAUGUGUAAGUAACUAUGCACGUCUUGACGGUACCUAAUCAGAAAGCCACGGCUAACUACGUG
Molecule: ribosomal RNA, 497 nt
Filed under: uncultured bacterium
Lineage: Bacteria
Description: partial 16S ribosomal RNA
Rfam family: Bacterial small subunit ribosomal RNA
Source: RNAcentral